This 253-nucleotide ribosomal RNA is filed under the name uncultured bacterium. RNAcentral's name for it is "partial 16S ribosomal RNA". It matches the Rfam family "Bacterial small subunit ribosomal RNA", at positions 524 to 776 of the family's 1533-position model. The record is from RNAcentral.
UACGGAGGGGGCUAGCGUUGUUCGGAAUUACUGGGCGUAAAGCGCACGUAGGCGGCUUUGUAAGUUAGAGGUGAAAGCCCGGGGCUCAACUCCGGAAUUGCCUUUAAGACUGCAUCGCUAGAAUUGUGGAGAGGUAAGUGGAAUUCCGAGUGUAGAGGUGAAAUUCGUAGAUAUUCGGAAGAACACCAGUGGCGAAGGCGACUUACUGGGCACAUAUUGACGCUGAGGUGCGAAAGCGUGGGGAGCAAACAGG